This 854-nucleotide long non-coding RNA is filed under the name Lepeophtheirus salmonis (salmon louse). RNAcentral describes it as "uncharacterized LOC121130344". The record is from RNAcentral. Lineage: Eukaryota; Metazoa; Arthropoda; Copepoda; Siphonostomatoida; Caligidae.
AUGCUGAAUUUCCAUUAGUUAAAUGGAGAACAUCCAAUUUGACGUCAUUUACAUUUAAUGUAGAUAAUUUUUUAAUAUUUCCCCAGUUUAUAAAUUUGUUCAAUCCGUUGCUUUAUUUAAUCGCAUCAUUUGCUGGAAAAGAAGUAAUCUUAAGAUACCCUUUGAAACUACAAACAAAGUAUAAUGGAUCAAAGAAAAGAUUGUACCCUUACUGAAGAGUGAAGACUAAAGAGCUUCGAGUUGGUAAAAUGAAUUUUGAGUGUAGAAAUGCAGAAUGCGUUCGUUAGUUAGUAAAAAAACAAAUCGAAAGUAGUCUUUGUUAAGUAAGCAAGGAUGGUGAACGUUCAUAUUGAAUACUGUGGCGGAUGAGGUUACGGACCGCGUUAUCGGGAAUUGGCUCGCAAACUUAAAGCAGCUGUUCCUGAUGCGCAGGUUGAAGGCUCCGUAGGAAGAAGUGCUUCCUUCGAAGUGAAAAUAGGAGAUAAACUCAUCUUCUCCAAGCUAUCUACAUCAAAAUUUCCAGACUUUGAUGAAAUUGUCUGCAUUGUGGAGGAUGCUCAAUCCAGCGGAGAUGAUCCGAGAGAGGCCACUAAGACUGCUGCAACCUGCCAAGUUCUUUAAUUAUUCACAUCAAUUGUCUUAAUUAUUUAUUUUGUACUCUGAAUAUGGUUACGACUUCCACAUUAUGACGGAAGGCUCUUGAUUUAAAUUAUUUUUUGAUUUUUCAAAAAAAAAUCACCUUCCCGAUGUUUUUAAGUUGGAACGAAGAACUGAAACUUGAUAUAAAAUUGUUUUUAAGAUGUAAUAAUCAAUUUUAAAUGAUAAAUAUAUUUUAAUAAAAAACUUAAAAAAUA